UACGUAGGGCGCAAGCGUUGUCCGGAAUUAUUGGGCGUAAAGAGCUCGUAGGCGGCUUGGCAAGCCGGGUGUGAAAACUCCAGGCUCAACCUGGAGACGCCACCCGGGACUGCUAUGGCUAGAGUCCGGUAGGGGAUCACGGAAUUCCUGGUGUAGCGGUGAAAUGCGCAGAUAUCAGGAGGAACACCGGUGGCGAAGGCGGUGAUCUGGGCCGGCACUGACGCUGAGGAGCGAAAGCGUGGGUAGCAAACAGG
Molecule: ribosomal RNA, 254 nt
Filed under: uncultured bacterium
Lineage: Bacteria
Description: partial 16S ribosomal RNA
Rfam family: Bacterial small subunit ribosomal RNA
Source: RNAcentral